Molecule: long non-coding RNA, 144 nt
Organism: Xenia sp. Carnegie-2017
Lineage: Eukaryota; Metazoa; Cnidaria; Anthozoa; Malacalcyonacea; Xeniidae
Exons: 2
Source: RefSeq, a predicted model, not a curated record
GCGUGGAAGGGGCGUGGAAGAGGGCGUGGCCAAGUUGUUAUCAAUAUAUUUACAAGGGACUAAGGAGGUUAGAAAGUCUUAACUAAAGAGGAAAAAAAAAGUUCAAAAAAAUCGCCAAAAAAAAUAAAAAUUUUUGAAAAAGUA